Molecule: long non-coding RNA, 221 nt
Filed under: Gallus gallus (chicken)
Lineage: Eukaryota; Metazoa; Chordata; Aves; Galliformes; Phasianidae
Source: RNAcentral
AUCAGCUUGUCCCUUUAAAAUUGUAAUAUUCCACGUAAAACUUUCUACUGAUUUUUGCAGUUUUCUUUCUUUUAAGCCUUCUCUCGCUCCUAUAUUGUGCAGGUUUUCAUGAAACUCCAUUGCUGCUUUCUGACAUUGGACUAUCUUAUCAUAUAAGCUAUCUGCGUUUUCAACUAGAGUCCGGAUGGUCUGAAUCAUCAUGUCAUACGCUGUUACAAUCC